GUUUCAGUACGGUCCCAUGGAUGAAAUGAACAUCUGUGACAAUCUGGGUGAUCGCCUCAUUGGAACAUCUACAUCAAGUUUCGACACGAGGAAGAUGCCGAGAAGGCAGUGGCUGAACUAGACAAUUGCUGGUUUGGAGUUCGUCCAAAUUGCCACUGAUCUGUCUCCUGUGACUGAUUUCCGAGAGGCUUGCUGUUGACAACAUGAAAUGAGUGAGUGCACUCAUGGUGGUUUCUGUAAUUUCAUGCAUCUCAAACCAAUUUCUAAAGACCUUCGACACAGACUGUUUGGUAGUCAUCCGAUGCGUGGGGGAGGCCGAGGGGUCGCUUCAAUCAUUCAAGAUCAAGAUCACCAAAGAGAUGUUCUAGAUCUUGAUCUCCAGCUGAUCGAGGCAAUCGACGAUAGUGUGGAUUAUUGAUGGUUUGUCAGUGCUGUUGUGUGUAUUGGUAGUUGACUAGAGCUGUAGAGGUGGUGACUGAAUAUGUAGGUUGCUCAGUCACUGUGACAGGUACAUGUUGAAGAUGCUGUCGUGUUGAUUACAGGAGAUAA
Long non-coding RNA from Corticium candelabrum, 549 nucleotides. RefSeq lists it as uncharacterized. NCBI's taxonomy places the organism in Eukaryota, Metazoa, Porifera, Homoscleromorpha, Homosclerophorida, Plakinidae. The transcript has 6 exons. The record is from RefSeq and is a predicted model, not a curated record.